RNAcentral lists this ribosomal RNA (923 nucleotides) under uncultured Bacteroidota bacterium. RNAcentral describes it as "bacterial SSU rRNA". It matches the Rfam family "Bacterial small subunit ribosomal RNA", at positions 1 to 916 of the family's 1533-position model. The record is from RNAcentral. Lineage: Bacteria; Pseudomonadati; Bacteroidota.
GGAUCCAGACUUUGAUCUGGCUCAGGAUGAACGCUAGCUACAGGCUUAACACAUGCAAGUCGAGGGGGAACGAUAUUGGAAGCUUGCUUCCGAUAGGCGUCGACCGGCGCACGGGUGAGUAACGCGUAUCCAACCUGCCCACCACUUGGGGAUAACCUUGCGAAAGUAAGACUAAUACCCAAUGAUAUCUCUAGAAGACAUCUGAAAGAGAUUAAAGAUUUAUCGGUGAUGGAUGGGGAUGCGUCUGAUUAGCUUGUUGGCGGGGUAACGGCCCACCAAGGCGACGAUCAGUAGGGGUUCUGAGAGGAAGGCCCCCCACAUUGGAACUGAGACACGGUCCAAACUCCUACGGGAGGCAGCAGUGAGGAAUAUUGGUCAAUGGGCGAGAGCCUGAACCAGCCAAGUAGCGUGCAGGAUGACGGCCCUAUGGGUUGUAAACUGCUUUUAUAAAGGAAUAAAGUGGGAGUCGUGACUCCUUUUGCAUGUACCUUAUGAAUAAGGACCGGCUAAUUCCGUGCCAGCAGCCGCGGUAAUACGGAAGGUCCGGGCGUUAUCCGGAUUUAUUGGGUUUAAAGGGAGCGUAGGCCGGAGAUUAAGCGUGUUGUGAAAUGUAGACGCUCAACGUCUGCACUGCAGCGCGAACUGGUUUCCUUGAGUACGCACAAAGUGGGCGGAAUUCGUGGUGUAGCGGUGAAAUGCUUAGAUAUCACGAAGAACUCCGAUUGCGAAGGCAGCUCACUGGAGCGCAACUGACGCUGAAGCUCGAAAGUGCGGGUAUCGAACAGGAUUAGAUACCCUGGUAGUCCGCACGGUAAACGAUGGAUGCCCGCUGUUGGUCUGAAUAGGUCAGCGGCCAAGCGAAAGCAUUAAGCAUCCCACCUGGGGAGUACGCCGGCAACGGUGCAACUCAAAGGAAUUGACGG